This 403-nucleotide ribosomal RNA is filed under the name Bacteroidota bacterium. Its description in RNAcentral is "Bacteroidetes bacterium partial 16S ribosomal RNA". It matches the Rfam family "Bacterial small subunit ribosomal RNA", at positions 355 to 776 of the family's 1533-position model. Lineage: Bacteria; Pseudomonadati; Bacteroidota. RNAcentral also lists the same sequence under 1 other name. The record is from RNAcentral.
UGGGGAAUAUUGCACAAUGGAGGGAACUCUGAUGCAGCGACGCCGCGUGAACGAAGAAGGCUUUCGAGUCGUAAAGUUCUUUUAUAUGGGAAGAUAAUGACGGUACCCUGUGAGGAAGCCCCGGCUAACUACGUGCCAGCAGCCGCGGUAAUACGUAGGGGGCUAGCGUUAUCCGGAUUUACUGGGCGUAAAGGGUGCGUAGGUGGUCUUUCAAGUCGGUGGUUAAAGGCUACGGCUCAACCGUAGUUAGCCUCCGAAACUGGAAGACUUGAGUGCAGGAGAGGAAAGUGGAAUUCCCAGUGUAGCGGUGAAAUGCGUAGAUAUUGGGAGGAACACCAGUAGCGAAGGCGGCUUUCUGGACUGCAACUGACACUGAGGCACGAAAGCGUGGGUAGCAAACAGG